RNAcentral lists this ribosomal RNA (305 nucleotides) under uncultured bacterium. Its description in RNAcentral is "bacterial SSU rRNA". It matches the Rfam family "Bacterial small subunit ribosomal RNA", at positions 334 to 656 of the family's 1533-position model. The record is from RNAcentral.
UAUGCCUACGGGGGGCAGCAGUGGGGGAUAUUGCACAAUGGGGGCAACCCUGAUGCAGCGACGCCGCGUGAGCGAUGGAGUACUUCGGUAUGUAAAGCUCUGUCAGCAGGGAAGAGAAUGACGGUACCUGACCAAGAAGCCCCGGCUAAAUACGUGCCAGCAGCCGCGGUAAUACGUAUGGUGCAAGCGUUAUCCGGAUUUACUGGGUGUAAAGGGAGCGCAGGCGGCACGGCAAGCCUGAUGUGAAAGCCCGCGGCCCAACCGCGGGACUGCAUUGGGAACUACCGGGCUGGAGUGCCGGAGAG